GGCGGCAGGCCUAACACAUGCAAGUCGAGCGGUAACAUUUCUAGCUUGCUAGAAGAUGACGAGCGGCGGGCGGGUGAGUAACGCGUAGAAAUCUACCUAGUAGUGGGGGAUAGCCCAGAGAAAUUUGGAUUAAUACCGCAUACGCCCUACGGGGGAGAGCGGGGGAUCCUCGGACCUCGUGCUAUUAGAUGAGUCUGCGUCGGAUUAGCUUGUUGGUGAGGUAAUGGCUCACCAAGGCGACGAUCCGUAGCUGGUCUGAGAGGAUGACCAGCCACACUGGAACUGAGACACGGUCCAGACUCCUACGGGAGGCAGCAGUGGGGAGUAUUGCACAAUGGGCGCAAGCCUGAUGCAGCCAUGCCGCGUGUGUGAAGAAGGCCUUAGGGUUGUAAAGCACUUUCAGCAGUGAGGAAAGGGGUGUCGUUAAUAGCGCCAUCCUGUGACGUUAACUGCAGAAGAAGGACCGGCUAACUCCGUG
This 478-nucleotide ribosomal RNA is filed under the name uncultured bacterium. RNAcentral's name for it is "bacterial SSU rRNA". It matches the Rfam family "Bacterial small subunit ribosomal RNA", at positions 38 to 507 of the family's 1533-position model. The record is from RNAcentral.